This 301-nucleotide ribosomal RNA is filed under the name uncultured bacterium. RNAcentral's name for it is "partial 16S ribosomal RNA". It matches the Rfam family "Bacterial small subunit ribosomal RNA", at positions 509 to 808 of the family's 1533-position model. The record is from RNAcentral.
CAGUCGCCACGGUAAUACGUAGGUGGCAAGCGUUGUCCGGAAUUAUUGGGUGUAAAGGGAGCGUAGACGGUUAAACAAGUCUGAAGUGAAAUGCCGGGGCUCAACCCCGGAGCUGCUUUGGGAACUGUAGAACUGGAGUGUCGGAGGGGUAAGCGGAAUUCCCAGUGUAGCGGUGAAAUGCGUAGAUAUUGGGAGGAACACCGGCGGCGAAGGCGGCUUACUGGACGACAACUGACGUUGAGGCUCGAAGGCGUGGGUAGCAAACAGGAUUAGAGACCCGAGUAGUCCCUGUCUCUUAACA